UCUAAUACCGGAUACCACUACCGCAGGCAUCUGUGGUGGUUGAAAGCUCCGGCGGUGAAGGAUGAGCCCGCGGCCUAUCAGCUUGUUGGUGAGGUAAUGGCUCACCAAGGCGACGACGGG
RNAcentral lists this ribosomal RNA (120 nucleotides) under Streptomyces canus. Its description in RNAcentral is "partial 16S rRNA". It matches the Rfam family "Bacterial small subunit ribosomal RNA", at positions 162 to 283 of the family's 1533-position model. The record is from RNAcentral. Lineage: Bacteria; Bacillati; Actinomycetota; Actinomycetes; Kitasatosporales; Streptomycetaceae.